Molecule: ribosomal RNA, 465 nt
Filed under: Vreelandella stevensii
Lineage: Bacteria; Pseudomonadati; Pseudomonadota; Gammaproteobacteria; Oceanospirillales; Halomonadaceae
Description: partial 16S ribosomal RNA
Rfam family: Bacterial small subunit ribosomal RNA
Source: RNAcentral
CCUACGGGAGGCAGCAGUGGGGAAUAUUGGACAAUGGGGGGAACCCUGAUCCAGCCAUGCCGCGUGUGUGAAGAAGGCCCUCGGGUUGUAAAGCACUUUCAGUGAGGAAGAACGCCUGGUGGUUAAUACCCAUCAGGAAAGACAUCACUCACAGAAGAAGCACCGGCUAACUCCGUGCCAGCAGCCGCGGUAAUACGGAGGGUGCGAGCGUUAAUCGGAAUUACUGGGCGUAAAGCGCGCGUAGGUGGCUUGAUAAGCCGGUUGUGAAAGCCCCGGGCUCAACCUGGGAACGGCAUCCGGAACUGUCAAGCUAGAGUGCAGGAGAGGAAGGUAGAAUUCCCGGUGUAGCGGUGAAAUGCGUAGAGAUCGGGAGGAAUACCAAUGGCGAAGGCGGCCUUCUGGACUGACACUGACACUGAGGUGCGAAAGCGUGGGUAGCAAACAGGAUUAGAUACCCCUGUAGUC